Molecule: ribosomal RNA, 1096 nt
Filed under: Microbacterium invictum
Lineage: Bacteria; Bacillati; Actinomycetota; Actinomycetes; Micrococcales; Microbacteriaceae
Description: bacterial SSU rRNA
Rfam family: Bacterial small subunit ribosomal RNA
Source: RNAcentral
CUCCGAUUGGUCGGAGUUUGAUCCUGGCUCAGGAUGAACGCUGGCGGCGUGCUUAACACAUGCAAGUCGAACGGUGAAAGCGGAGCUUGCUCCGCUGGAUCAGUGGCGAACGGGUGAGUAACACGUGAGCAACCUGCCCCGGACUCUGGGAUAAGCGCUGGAAGCGGCGUCUAAUACCGGAUACGAGCUGCGAAGGCAUCUUCAGCAGCUGGAAAGAACUUCGGUCUGGGAUGGGCUCACGGCCUAUCAGCUAGUUGGUGAGGUAACGGCUCACCAAGGCGUCGACGGGUAGCCGGCCUGAGAGGGUGACCGGCCACACUGGGACUGAGACACGGCCCAGACUCCUACGGGAGGCAGCAGUGGGGAAUAUUGCACAAUGGGCGAAAGCCUGAUGCAGCAACGCCGCGUGAGGGACGACGGCCUUCGGGUUGUAAACCUCUUUUAGCAGGGAAGAAGCGAAAGUGACGGUACCUGCAGAAAAAGCACCGGCUAACUACGUGCCAGCAGCCGCGGUAAUACGUAGGGUGCAAGCGUUAUCCGGAAUUAUUGGGCGUAAAGAGCUCGUAGGCGGUUUGUCGCGUCUGCUGUGAAAACCCGAGGCUCAACCUCGGGCCUGCAGUGGGUACGGGCAGACUAGAGUGCGGUAGGGGAGAUUGGAAUUCCUGGUGUAGCGGUGGAAUGCGCAGAUAUCAGGAGGAACACCGAUGGCGGAGGCAGAUCUCUGGGCCGUAACUGACGCUGAGGAGCGAAAGGGUGGGGAGCAAACAGGCUUAGAUACCCUGGUAGUCCACCCCGUAAACGUUGGGAACUAGUUGUGGGGUCCAUUCCACGGAUUCCGUGACGCAGCUAACGCAUUAAGUUCCCCGCCUGGGGAGUACGGCCGCAAGGCUAAAACUCAAAGGAAUUGACGGGGACCCGCACAAGCGGCGGAGCAUGCGGAUUAAUUCGAUGCAACGCGAAGAACCUUACCAAGGCUUGACAUAUACGAAGAACGGCCAGAAAAUGUCACUCUUUGACACCUCGUAAACAGUGUGCAUGCUGUCGUCAGCUCGUGUCGUGAGAUGUUGGGUUAGGUCCCGCAACGAGCGCAACAUGG